CCUACGGGGGGCAGCAGUGGGGAAUUUUGGACAAUGGACGAAAGUCUGAUCCAGCAAUGCCGCGUGCAGGACGAAGGCCUUCGGGUUGUAAACUGCUUUUGUACGGAACGAAACGGUCUUCUUUAAUACAGAGGGCUAAUGACGGUACCGUAAGAAUAAGCACCGGCUAACUACGUGCCAGCAGCCGCGGUAAUACGUAGGGUGCGAGCGUUAAUCGGAAUUACUGGGCGUAAAGCGUGCGCAGGCGGUUAUAUAAGUCAGAUGUGAAAUCCCCGGGCUCAACCUGGGACCUGCAUUUGAGACUGUAUAGCUAGAGUACGGUAGAGGGGGAUGGAAUUCCGCGUGUAGCAGUGAAAUGCGUAGAUAUGCGGAGGAACACCGAUGGCGAAGGCAAUCCCCUGGACCUGUACUGACGCUCAUGCACGAAAGCGUGGGGAGCAAACAGGAUUAGAUACCCCGGUAGUC
Molecule: ribosomal RNA, 465 nt
Filed under: uncultured bacterium
Lineage: Bacteria
Description: bacterial SSU rRNA
Rfam family: Bacterial small subunit ribosomal RNA
Source: RNAcentral